Molecule: ribosomal RNA, 330 nt
Filed under: Triticum aestivum (bread wheat)
Lineage: Eukaryota; Viridiplantae; Streptophyta; Magnoliopsida; Poales; Poaceae
Description: partial small subunit ribosomal RNA
Source: RNAcentral
AUGGCUCCCAUCAUGGUCCGUAUCUCAGUCCUACUGGUUCCCCUGGACUGGGAUCUCGCGGAACGUUGUGGCCAUGGUGGAGGGCAUGGCGUGAAACAAGCAUCACUCCAUUGGGUUUCCUCAAAGUUUUCAUGUCUACAAGACACAGUUAGAAAUUUGGCAGCCUGUUGCUUCAAACAAAGCUUCUGGAAUCAUCUGCCUGGAGCUUUACUUGUUGUAUGGUGGGUGGUCUUCCGAAAGCUACAAAGGCCACUGUGGCUCCUACUUCCACAUGCCAUGCCUAGUGGUAGUUUGACUUCAAGUGGACAAAGCAAGACACGACAAUGCUAG